GGACGGGUGAGUAACGCGUGGGUAACCUACCCCAAAGUCUGGGAUAACAGCGGGAAACCGCUGCUAAUACCGGAUGUCUUUACCUUGGGGCAUCUUGAGGUAAAGAAAGGUAACGCUUUGGGAUGGGCCCGCGUCCCAUUAGCUAGUUGGUGAGGUAACGGCUCACCAAGGCGACGAUGGGUAGCCGGCCUGAGAGGGUGGACGGCCACACUGGGACUGAGACACGGCCCAGACUCCUACGGGAGGCAGCAGUAGGGAAUAUUGCGCAAUGGACGGAAGUCUGACGCAGCGACGCCGCGUGAGCGAUGAAGGUCUUCGGAUCGUAAAGCUCUGUCCUUGGGGAAGAAGGCGAAAGCUUGACGGUACCCAAGAAGAAAGCCCCGGCUAACUACGUGCCAGCAGCCGCGGUAAUACGUAGGGGGCGAGCGUUGUCCGGAAUUACUGGGCGUAAAG
Molecule: ribosomal RNA, 453 nt
Filed under: uncultured bacterium
Lineage: Bacteria
Description: bacterial SSU rRNA
Rfam family: Bacterial small subunit ribosomal RNA
Source: RNAcentral